RNAcentral lists this long non-coding RNA (675 nucleotides) under Panax ginseng (ginseng). RNAcentral describes it as "long non-coding RNA (PGIN_LNC008962)". The record is from RNAcentral. Lineage: Eukaryota; Viridiplantae; Streptophyta; Magnoliopsida; Apiales; Araliaceae.
GUCCCUCUCUUCAAGCGCCCGGUCCCUCUCCUUUACUGCAUUACCUUGAGCUAGCAGAGCCAUUCUCAGUCUUCUCCUCGGGACCUCGUCACUAAGCCCUUCAGCCACAUUGACUAGCACAUCCAAUUUUGAAACACGAGUUUCAACAUCAGCUGGGGAAGAGGCUGGCACAGCAGAACCAGAAUGUUUUCCUGAAAGCCAAUAGGAUCAACACUAAGGAACCAGCAGAUUCGAAAAGGAGAAAAUAACAAUAGGAUAGAUUAUAUAGGCAUGUGACGUACUUGGCACUUGAGAUUGCUCUUCCACUUGUCCAAGUGUUUCAGAUAUUGGGAAUCAAGACCUAAUCGCAAGGAGGAUGGAACAGAACAGAAAAUUAUAACAGAAAAUUAGAAGCCAACGACUGCAAGAUUCAAGGAAGAAAUUAAGUACAAAAACCUAAAUCCUUACCCGUUCUUUUUCAAUAGAUGUUCAAUAGAGACAUAGACGACGGAGGCUCUGGUCGGAGAGAGAGCCGCGGCCAUUGUUCAGAUUUUACAGACCUGAUACUUCAUCCGGCGAGGAUGGUAGAAGGGAGAGUUGCUCUGGAUAGAAGAGAGAGGCGCGACUGAUUUUUGGGGGAGGAGACCUUCUAAUUUGUUGACCCGAUCAGUUUUGGGUUAACCCAAAAGAAGAUCC